Molecule: long non-coding RNA, 550 nt
Organism: Monodelphis domestica (gray short-tailed opossum)
Lineage: Eukaryota; Metazoa; Chordata; Mammalia; Didelphimorphia; Didelphidae
Source: Ensembl
GUACAGGACUUCAAAAAGCUACUAAUAGCCACAGCUGCAGUGUCAUUGUUUAGUUUUAUGCCAGUCAUGAAUUUUCAAGCUAUUGUUUUGAUUUUCAGGCUUCCACUGAUGAAGCUGGUUGCCGUGGAAAUUACUAGCCUGCAGAUGAUUCCAAUCUCAAGAAAUAUAUCACAUAAAAAAAGAGUUAAAAUCAGUUUCCUGGUAUCUGCUAUGGUGAUGGUAUGGUGGAAACUACUUUCCUGGUGGCAAAGUGGAGAAGUAAUGAAGGGCUGAUCUGGAUUUGAAGUGAGUAUUGCUGUCUGCAGGGGACCAUCAAGCCACGAUGUUUCACACAGUCACUUGUGGGAACCGAGGGCUACAAAGUGACCCCUAGGAAGGAUGGAGACAUCCACUCAUCCACCCCCCUCUGCAUGACUUCUCUCACUAACAUCCCUUACUAUUGGAUUUGCUAUGAUUAUUGUUCUCUCCUUAGUUUCAGGAAAAAUAAUAUGAGAGCAAAAUACUUGUAGGAUAAAUACUAAUGCUCCAAUGUUAUCCCCCCAGAUAUCAC